UACGGGGGGAGCAAGCGUUGUUCGGAUUUACUGGGCGUAAAGGGCGCGUAGGCGGCCAGCGCAAGUCAGCUGUGAAAUCUCCGGGCUUAACUCGGAACGGUCAACUGAUACUGCGCGGCUAGAGUGCAGAAGGGGCAACUGGAAUUCUCGGUGUAGCGGUGAAAUGCGUAGAUAUCGAGAGGAACACCUGCGGCGAAGGCGGGUUGCUGGGCUGACACUGACGCUGAUGCGCGAAAGCCAGGGGAGCGAACGGG
This 254-nucleotide ribosomal RNA is filed under the name uncultured bacterium. RNAcentral describes it as "partial 16S ribosomal RNA". It matches the Rfam family "Bacterial small subunit ribosomal RNA", at positions 524 to 776 of the family's 1533-position model. The record is from RNAcentral.